GGCGAACGCUGGCGGCGUGCUUAACACAUGCAAGUCGAACGGAAAGGCCCUUCGGGGUCCUCGAGUGGCGAACGGGUGAGUAACACGUGGGUGAUCUGCCCUGCACUUUGGGAUAAGCCUGGGAAACUGGGUCUAAUACCGAAUAGGACCACGCGCUUCAUGGUGUGUGGUGGAAAGCUUUUGCGGUGUGGGAUGGGCCCGCGGCCUAUCAGCUUGUUGGUGGGGUAAUGGCCUACCAAGGCGACGACGGGUAGCCGGCCUGAGAGGGUGACCGGCCACACUGGGACUGAGAUACGGCCCAGACUCCUACGGGAGGCAGCAGUGGGGAAUAUUGCACAAUGGGCGCAAGCCUGAUGCAGCGACGCCGCGUGAGGGAUGACGGCCUUCGGGUUGUAAACCUCUUUCAAUAGGGACGAAGCGCAAGUGACGGUACCUAUAGAAGAAGCACCGGCCAACUACGUG
This 462-nucleotide ribosomal RNA is filed under the name uncultured bacterium. Its description in RNAcentral is "partial 16S ribosomal RNA". It matches the Rfam family "Bacterial small subunit ribosomal RNA", at positions 28 to 507 of the family's 1533-position model. The record is from RNAcentral.